This 468-nucleotide ribosomal RNA is filed under the name uncultured bacterium. RNAcentral describes it as "partial 16S ribosomal RNA". It matches the Rfam family "Bacterial small subunit ribosomal RNA", at positions 28 to 507 of the family's 1533-position model. The record is from RNAcentral.
GACGAACGCUGGCGGCGUGCUUAACACAUGCAAGUCGAACGGAAAGGCCCUGCUUUUGUGGUUUUCUCGAGUGGCGCACGGGUGAGUCACACGUGAGUAACCUCCCCUUGACUUUGGUAUAACUUCAGGAAACUGGGGCUAAUACCGGAUAUGAGCUCCUGCUGCAUGUUGGUGGUUGGAAAGUUUCGGCGGUUGUGGAUUGACUCGCGGCUUCUCCGCUUGUUGGUGGGGUAGUGGCUUACCAAGGCUUUGACGGGUAGCCUGCCUGAGAGGGUGAACGGCCACAUUGGGACUGAGAUACGGCCCAGACUCCUACGGGAGGCAGCAGGGGGGAAUAUUGCACAAUGGGCGGAAGUCUGAUGCAGAAACGCCGGGUGCGGGAUGACGGCCUUCGGGGUGUAAACCGCUUUCGCCGGUGAAGAAGAGGGAGUGACGGUAAUGGGUAAAGAAGCACCGGCUAACUACGUG